UUUAGACUUAAGAGCUAUUCAAAUAAGGCACAGCUUAUUUGAAAUAGGACACAACCUACAACAUAGGGUAAAUGAGAGUGACCUAAAUAAAGUGGGCCUAAAAGCAGCCACCUUCAGAAAAGCGUUAAAGCUUAACUACCUUCACUCAUAAUGCCUAAAAUCUCCACUAACCCUUCAUUACUACUGAACAAUUUUAUACUCAUAUAAAAGCUAUCAUGCUAGAACUAGUAACAAGAAACUGCUUUUCUCCUAAAUGUAAACAUAAACCAAAAUAGACCAUCUAUUGGUUAUUAACGUAAAUGCUAAACUGUAGCAACACUCACUAGAAAAUCCUAUAAACCCCAACGUUAACCUUACACCAGAACAUUACAGGAAAGAUUAAAAGAAAAAGAAGGAACUCGGCAAAUUUUAGCCUCGCCUGUUUACCAAAAACAUCGCCUCUUGACAAACAUAAGAGGUCCAGCCUGCCCAGUGACAAAGUUCAACGGCCGCGGUACCCUAACCGUGCAAAGGUAGCACAAUCACUUGUUCUUUAAAUGAGGACUCGUAUCAACGGCACUACGAGGGCUAUACUGUCUCCUUUUUCUAAUCAGUGAAACUGAUCUCCCCGUGAAGAAGCGGGGAUUGUAAUAUAAGACGAGAAGACCCCAUGGAGCUUUAAACUCACCAUGUACCCCUGUGCUCCCAUACCCCCAGACACAACAGACCUACAUGUUAGUUUUAGGUUGGGGUGACCACGGAGUAUAACUUAACCUCCAUAGCAAAUGGGCUAAUACCCUUAUCCACGAGACACAACUCUAAGAAUUACUAAACUAAUGCUUACGACCCGAUAUUCGAUCCAUGAACCAAGUUACCCUGGGGAUAACAGCGCAAUCUACUUCAAGAGCCCAUAUCGACAAGUAGGUUUACGACCUCGAUGUUGGAUCAGGGUAUCCCGGUGGUGCAGCCG
This 949-nucleotide ribosomal RNA is filed under the name Rana taihangensis. RNAcentral's name for it is "partial 16S ribosomal RNA". It matches the Rfam family "Bacterial large subunit ribosomal RNA", at positions 970 to 2561 of the family's 2925-position model. Lineage: Eukaryota; Metazoa; Chordata; Amphibia; Anura; Ranidae. The record is from RNAcentral.